Molecule: ribosomal RNA, 389 nt
Filed under: uncultured Smithella sp.
Lineage: Bacteria; Pseudomonadati; Thermodesulfobacteriota; Syntrophia; Syntrophales; Smithellaceae
Description: bacterial SSU rRNA
Rfam family: Bacterial small subunit ribosomal RNA
Source: RNAcentral
AACCCGAGAGAGUCGGGCCGUUCCCCGUUCGGGGGACAGGGUGACAGGUGGUGCAUGGUUGUCGUCAGCUCGUGUCGUGAGAUGUUGGGUUAAGUCCCGCAACGAGCGCAACCCUUAUCUUUAAUUGCCAGCAUUCAGUUGGGCACUUUAAAGAGACUGCCGGUGUUAAACCGGAGGAAGGUGGGAUGACGUCAAGUCCUCAUGGCCUUUAUGCUUAGGGCUACACACGUGCUACAAUGGGUGGUACAAAGAGAAGCCAACUCGCGAGAGCGCGCCAAUCUCAAAAAGCCAUCCUCAGUUCGGAUUGGAGUCUGCAACUCGACUCCAUGAAGUUGGAAUCGCUAGUAAUCGCGGAUCAGCAUGCCGCGGUGAAUACGUUCCCGGGCCUU